UUGCCAUAUGUUUCUUCGUCGACAAACUUCCUCAGAAACAACCAAAUGGUUUAAACAUGGGACUUCAACCGAUGAACAACGUUGUCACUGCAACAGGAGGAGGAGUUUUUUCAUCUUAAAUGAAUAAAAGCACCAAUGUUUUGAAAACAAAAAAUUUCCAAACCAGAGACAAUGGAGAAUCGAUGAAAACCAAAAAAAAAAAAAAACCCAAAAAUUUUCUUGAUUCAUUUUAUAAAUUUGAAAGAUUUGUCAGAGAGAUUCCUGAGAUUCAGUGUUUAUUA
Camelina sativa (false flax) is the source of this 281-nucleotide non-coding RNA. NCBI's taxonomy places the organism in Eukaryota, Viridiplantae, Streptophyta, Magnoliopsida, Brassicales, Brassicaceae. The record is from RefSeq and is a predicted model, not a curated record.